Molecule: long non-coding RNA, 138 nt
Organism: Tyto alba (common barn owl)
Lineage: Eukaryota; Metazoa; Chordata; Aves; Strigiformes; Tytonidae
Exons: 3
Source: RefSeq, a predicted model, not a curated record
GGCACUCAGGUGUGAAAACAUGCAAACUACUUACUGAGCUGUAGAGAUAUCCCUCAGCGUUCAUGGCAACGUACAGACCUGCCUUCACUCCUUGGAUUGCCACCACGCGAAGACCCACAGGAAUUAGAUUAAAAAGGG